CGCACCUUGCGCCCCUUGGUAUUCCGAGGGGCACGUCUGUUUGAGUGUCGUAAACUUCAUCCACCCUUGCUUUCUUAACCGAUCGCUCGGGCUGGGAUUUUUGGGGGUUGCCGGUCCCUGGUAGAUCGGCUCUCCUUAAAAGCAUUAGCGGGAUCCAAGUGUUGGCCCCCCGGCGUGAUAGUAAUAUCUGCGUCUCCUGGGCCUCGCGUUUUAAAGGGUCUGCUUCUAAUCGCCCUCCCCUGGGCAAAUCUUACUUUACUACAUGACCUCAGAUCAGACGGGAUUACCCGCUGAACUUAA
Molecule: unclassified non-coding RNA, 300 nt
Filed under: Agaricomycetes sp.
Lineage: Eukaryota; Fungi; Basidiomycota; Agaricomycetes
Description: partial contains 5.8S ribosomal RNA, internal transcribed spacer 2, and large subunit ribosomal RNA
Source: RNAcentral